This 700-nucleotide ribosomal RNA is filed under the name Streptomyces sp. A20MGG. RNAcentral describes it as "bacterial SSU rRNA". It matches the Rfam family "Bacterial small subunit ribosomal RNA", at positions 112 to 826 of the family's 1533-position model. Lineage: Bacteria; Bacillati; Actinomycetota; Actinomycetes; Kitasatosporales; Streptomycetaceae. RNAcentral also lists the same sequence under 3 other names. The record is from RNAcentral.
AACACGUGGGCAAUCUGCCCUGCACUCUGGGACAAGCCCUGGAAACGGGGUCUAAUACCGGAUAACACUUUUCCCUGCAUGGGGAAAGGUUAAAAGCUCCGGCGGUGCAGGAUGAGCCCGCGGCCUAUCAGCUUGUUGGUGGGGUAAUGGCCUACCAAGGCGACGACGGGUAGCCGGCCUGAGAGGGCGACCGGCCACACUGGGACUGAGACACGGCCCAGACUCCUACGGGAGGCAGCAGUGGGGAAUAUUGCACAAUGGGCGAAAGCCUGAUGCAGCGACGCCGCGUGAGGGAUGACGGCCUUCGGGUUGUAAACCUCUUUCAGCAGGGAAGAAGCGAAAGUGACGGUACCUGCAGAAGAAGCGCCGGCUAACUACGUGCCAGCAGCCGCGGUAAUACGUAGGGCGCAAGCGUUGUCCGGAAUUAUUGGGCGUAAAGAGCUCGUAGGCGGCUUGUCACGUCGGAUGUGAAAGCCCGGGGCUUAACCCCGGGUCUGCAUUCGAUACGGGCAGGCUAGAGUGUGGUAGGGGAGAUCGGAAUUCCUGGUGUAGCGGUGAAAUGCGCAGAUAUCAGGAGGAACACCGGUGGCGAAGGCGGAUCUCUGGGCCAUUACUGACGCUGAGGAGCGAAAGCGUGGGGAGCGAACAGGAUUAGAUACCCUGGUAGUCCACGCCGUAAACGUUGGGAACUAGGUGUUGG